CUGCACUCCGAAUUCUAUUCAGUUACAUACACUCAUCAUUUAGGAAUGCUUGGGUGUGUGGAGAUUUCUGCCUCGGUGAAGAAUGGGUUGGGCACCAGGUCUUUUCAGGUACAAUUCAGUAACUCUUCUAGGUAACACCGUCAAGUGCUGCAAGCAACAGGGUGUGCAGUGGGAAUUUGCCAUCUCCUAGAGCAAAGUAUGGUGGUAACCAGGGAGAAGUAAAGAAAAGCUGUAAACAGCAGUCAUCAGAACAGAAGCAGCAGCCAUGACGGGGCAGGCAGGGAAAGGGAGCCUAUUUUCUUGCAUUGUCUCUCCAGGGUGCAAACAGCUGCUGAACUGUCAAAACUCUGAUUUUUCUCAAUGAUGCCUACUCAAAUAGUUGCAUAUUAAAAUCCCGAGCAGUCCCUGUUUCUUAAGUAAAGAGGGAAAAACAAAGCACACAACAGGGGCUUUCAUGUUACCUUACCCUGGUUAGCUGACUGGAACCUGAAAUGGACUGCUCCUCUCUGAUCGAUGAUGGCUUGUUUUCAUCUGCUGAAAAAUUCUGAUCUGCUCCAUUUUUGAAGUGGUUUGGCAAGGAGAUCUUUGGUUCCAACCAACUGAUAGUUGUCCCUGAAGCAAACGAGAGUUUACGCUGAAACUUGCUCAUAUUCUAGAAGGGUAUUUUGUUU
Zootoca vivipara (common lizard) is the source of this 671-nucleotide long non-coding RNA. RefSeq lists it as uncharacterized. NCBI's taxonomy places the organism in Eukaryota, Metazoa, Chordata, Lepidosauria, Squamata, Lacertidae. The record is from RefSeq and is a predicted model, not a curated record.